Molecule: non-coding RNA, 5560 nt
Organism: Cordylochernes scorpioides
Lineage: Eukaryota; Metazoa; Arthropoda; Arachnida; Pseudoscorpiones; Chernetidae
Source: the annotation of a GenBank genome assembly
AUUACAAAUAACUCGCAGAAGAAAGAGAUGAAGUUAAAGGAGCAGAAAAAAUCAAAUUUCAAAAAUAAGUAUACCAUGUCAUUCUAUACCAUCAUCCAUUAUGGAUGUGUGUAUUUGAACCUUAUCAAAAUGGUACCAUAAACAUUUAUAUAGAUAAUAGGCUAACAGAGUUUAUAGUUGUAAAGUUUCAAGCUAUCUCCUCCAAAGAUAGUUAUCUAUACAUAGCCAUCUAUAUAUCAAAAUUUUCGUUAUUUUUUGCUUCACAUUACCGUUUUAUUUUUAUUUGCCAAAUAUUAAUAUAUUUAUUUAUUUUUAAUUUAUUCGAUUUUGCAAUCGUAGAUUUUUUGCCUGCAAAUGUUGCUUAUCUUAUUUGUUAUUUACCACCAUCGAAUUGUUUAUUUUUAAAACACGUUCUUUUUGUAUUAUUACUUUUAAUUAAUUUCUAUUGUUACUUUUAUUUUCUUAUUAAUUACUUUAUUAUAAUUAUAAUUAUUUUUUUUUUUGCUUAUCCCUAGUACACGUGGUACAGGCCAUGAUAAUCAUGGUGGGUAGAAGUAGGCGACUGCUUUUACUGUAAGUGCACCACAUGUAUACCCAUGUGAAAAGCAGUUCGACUUUGCACUUACAAAUGUGCCAGAGCCCCGUUUGGUUACUUGCACUCGCUGGUGGGGUUGGACUUUUGCAAGAAUCGGGGGCCAUUGGAGCAUUAUUUUUUUAAACAUAAAAAAGUGCUCAAUGCGGGAAUCGAACCCGGGUCGUAGCGGUCAAAAACCAACGGUUUAGACCAUCCUUCCACCGACCCACAUUAUAAUUAUAAAUGUAAGUAGCUUUGUUAUAGUUUUUCAUUUAAAUUUAGCUCCAUUUUUGUGUCUGGUAUUCUUUUUUGCAGUAUCUUCUUGGGAUAUUUUUUUAAUCAAUCAAUUGUUUAUUACUUAAUUAGAAUUGUAAGCAUAGCUUUGUUAUAGCGUUAUAUAUAAUAUUUUAUUAUAAUAUUAAAACUAAAAUAAACUAAUGUGGAGAAGUUAAAAUAGAAGUUCCAGGAAAAUCACUGGGCUGGGAGCCGUGGCGUGCUCCUGUAAUCCAGCUACUUGGACGCCGAGGUUGGUGGACGGCUUGAGGCGGGGAGCCCUCCCUACUUUGACUGGAUGUCCGCACUAGGCCCAGCGUCAAUAUGGCGACCCCGGGGGAGCUCGGGGCCUCCAGGUCAGCUAAUGAGGAGUGGACCGGCCCAGGGCGGAAACGCAGCAGGUAAAAGCUCCCGCGCAGGGCGGUAGUGGGAUCUCGUCCGUGAAUGGUAGCCUCGCUGAUAUAGUUGGACCCAACUCUUUUUUUAAAAUACUUAUUUUAUUCUUUGAAGGCCUAUUCAAGUAUAUAUAUUACAUAUUUUUAAAUAUAGAACGACUUCCCUAUACAGGUUACAUAAAUAUCAUCGGUUCGAUCCCCAGCGUGGCAAUCUUUUUUUUUUCAACUAGAGAGAUAUUUAUAACACAGGUUCCUGGAGCGCAGAGCGCCAACUACCCGGGGAGUCCAGCCAUAAUACCAUAAAAACUCCGUUGUAAGUGUUAUCAGGGAUUCAGAAUCAGAAAUUCAUUCACCGUCGGUUAGAAGAAACGUUUAUUUAUUAUUUUAAAUACAUGUAAAUUAUCUUAUUCUUUUUAGCCAUAUAAAACUAUAGCAAGCUAGACAUAUAUAGUAUUAUUCCUAUUCAAAACAUUUACUCAUUUUUUUAUUUACAUUUCCUAGAGUAAUUUAGUUUUUUUUUUUAUUUAAUUAAAUAAAAAUUAAUCUAUACACCAUAAUUAGAUUAUACCAAUUACAACAUUUUUUUCAGCUGCUACAGGGAUGACUGAGUAAAUACGUAAAAUCCGAACAACAACAUUAAAUCUUUUAAAUGCUUGUAUGUGAAUUUGUAAAGAGAACCUGUAGACACACUAUAUAGAUUUCAUACCUAAAAGAAAGUAUAAGCAAAUUGAGACAAGAGGCUCGACAAAAGACAAAUGUUAUUUACAUCUUUGUUUAAUCUUUCUCUUCAAUAUAUUUUGGUUAAGUAAAUUUUUCUGCUCUGUUAUUUGUACGGCCCAAAAUUGGUUUAUAGAGAUAUCUUUGUGUGAUUUGCAAGGCAAAAAUAGUGCUUUAUAUUCUUUUAAAGCAUUUAUUCCAUUUAAAAAAUUGUAAAACACGCAAAUGUAAACUUUUAAAGACAUCGUUGUGAUAAUUGAUGAUAGUUUUUUUUUUCUGUUUGUUAUUAAUUCUAUCGAGAUACCCUAGCAUGUCUGUGCACGUUUGCAUAUUGGUUAGUUGCUCAAUAAAGAGUUUACUUAUCUAGCACACACCGCUUAACAACAUUUUAAUUCUUUUUGUCGUCACAGCUAACGAAAUGGGGACCUUUCAAGUGCAAAGUCUAUCUCGUGGGAGAUACUUACAGUAUAAGUUAUGGUUAUAAUGGCCUGUACUACGUGUGCUAUCUUGGAAUGUAAUAAAAGUACAAUGCCUUAUGCAACAGGAGGUGCGUUGCUCCAGGGCGAUGUUCAACGCUCGGCUAUCACGUCGCCGUUUUAUUGCGAUACCCGGCUGGACCGUGACGCAACCCUUUGUUGCCAUCUUUGCAGUGGAAAAACUUUCAGAAAUUGUAAAAAUUAUGACGCUGUGUAUCAGUAUUUAUGCUUUCCUCUCAUGGCAAGUGGUUAUUACCGUCAUUAAGCCAGACGACUCUGCCAACAAGCUAAUUUUAUUUCUCCUUUUAGGUUGGGGAUGGGGUUUUGUACUGCAAAUAUGACGCGGGACUCAUGGAAGCAUAUUUUUGACGGCCCAUUUGUUUGAGCUCAAUUCUAACCAAUGAGUGCAACUAACCUUACACGAUCCAAGAACCUUACAAGUUGGGCGGACUGCUGUGUGUAGAAGUGAAAUGUAUUUACUGUGUAAAAGGUUUUCACCCACAACAAUUAAUGUGGCAUGUACUGCAUAUACGUACUCUAUACUGACAACAAAAUUAUAUUAUGAUGCAUUAGCGCGCCAUCUGUUAUCAAAAUCCGAAACUAUUAUAGACGCGUAUGAUUCUUUUUAAAAAUAAACAAUUUAUACUGCCCUUACUGCAAUGGAAAGAUUAAUGGGAGGGCCUGGCUCAUCAGUGGUGAACCCUCCCAGCGGAUUCGCCAGUUUAAUCUACCAUUUUAUAUCUCUAUCAAAUCUUAAUAUUUUAUGAACGCCUGUUUUUUUUUUUUAUUAUAUCUGUGGCUCAUUUUUUCCAUUGAUGUUUGAAAUCUAAUCGGUGUAUUAUGAAUUUCAAAUAGGGUAUAUAAUGGUAUCAGAGAAAAGAAAUUCGUCAAAUUUUAAAGAUAUUUUCAUACUGUGCUGAUGUUGCCCUAAUUUUGCGUACCAAUGUUUUUUGGAAUAAGUAAGAAAGAAAAUAUUUUGAAAAGUUUUAAAUGAUUUGCCUUCAAUAUGAAUCAAAAGUCGAAUGUCUUAAGUGGCUAGUGUCGGAAAUUGUACUUUUCAGUCAAAAGUCGAAAACUGCAAAUCAGUACGAGUGGUUGGACAUGAAAGGAAGUUAUUUGAACUGGGGAUUGUACAAGGAAAUGGCAUGAGCCAAUAUUUCCUUUUCCUUUCUUGAGAUGUCACUCUCACGCCUUUUACCCUGCAUAAUGGAAUUUCGCGAUUUUCCCCAACACAUUACUCAAGCUGCCCUAUCCUGAAGUCUAGGGCUCUUAAGUUCUAGGCUUCCUGGACCUCCUGUCUCCACCUUUACUGUCCUCUCCUACUGGAUUUCCUCCCCUGCCAAGACUCCUGCCUCUCACUGCUCCCAGGCGCUGUUCCCUGCCAUCUCUGCGUUUACUCCACCCCUGCGAGACAUCUUUGCUGCCAUAUCCUAGGAUCCCUUGCCACUGGAAGUCGCGUUCUGCCAUUGGGGCUAGAAGAUCAUACUCUAAAUGGCCAAUUAACCCGGAAAGAAACUCAACUCCCCAACACAUUCGUCUUUUUCUCCCAUUUCUUACAAAAGUGCUGUAUUUUACUGGUUUUGUAGGACCCCGAAGAGAAAAUUAAAUCUUGUGUUUUAUAUAUGUUUGGAUUUUGUCAGGCUGUCGACAACCCGAGUUUAAAACUUGCACUUUAGAAGACUCUUGCAAAGUUCGGCCCAACCAAUAAGUGCAAACAACCAAAUAGCAUUCUGGUUCCAACUGCAGCUAAGUGUGGAGAUAUUUGUUAUACUUAAAGCAUAUACACAGCUAGAAAGUAUUACACCCAGGAAUAUUUGAAGAAAAAAAAAACUUGGAAAUUGACUUAUAGUGACAUGCUUGCUUAUUUCUCAACUAAUUGAUCAUUAAAACAUGGUCUUAUAGUCCUAUAGACUUAUGGUGACGUGUAAUGAAUUAUUAUAUUUUGGAAGCAAAACGUUAAAACAUGAUUAAAUGCGAACAAAAUGUUCGUUUUUUUUUUAACAUUUGGUCUAUGAAACAGCCUGUACAUCCAGGCCAGGUUUCAUAUUCUACCAGUUCCUUUUGAAUGUAGCACACUGUCUACAUGAGACCGAUAGACCGGAGACGAUCAGUUUACGACUUUCUUGCUCCAAAACACAAGAACUUUACGUCUCACUGGAGAACGUCCUUCAACUUCAUGGCCUUCGCAGAGCAUCGACCUCGUCAAGCCACUUGUUGAUAGCCACCUUGAACCGUGGCUGUCACUUUUUUUUUAUUAUUUAUUACUUGCUUGGACGUUCUGAACCCGAGUAGAGAAAGUUAGACUCUCAUACUGGCGUCAAGAGACUAGCAGACAGAUAGAGACUUAUCUCUCUUUAAACUUCGCCUAUCACAUACAAGAGAUUAGUUGAGAAAACCUUUUCUUUCAGAUCUCCACGUGGUCUAGUGGUUACGAUAUCUGGCUUUCAUCCAGAAGGCCCGGGUUCGAGUUCCGGCGUGGGAAGUUUUUCUAGGCUCGAAAAUCACACACUUUGGUUAGUAGCCCGUAAAACCAUAUUCUCUCUCUUUCUGCACCUCUGUCCUCUCAUUAACUGUGGAAUAAACUUAAUGGUAAUAUGAUAUUUAUAUACAGGAAAAUGAUAUAAAGACAAUCAAGCUAAUAGAUUAGUCUGGGUAAAUUGGAGGAAAAUAAAUUUAUUAUACAUGGAUUUACCGCGGAUUCACCGCAAAUAAGAUUAAAAAAAAGUAAACGUGAGACAAAGAACAAUAAUUAUUAUAUACAAGAGAUACUUUUCAAACACGAGCGAUCAUCUAUAGCCAUUGCUACUCUAUUCCAACAUGCAGAUAUGCGUCACUUAACGACGUCCUGUUUAACGACCAAUUAACACUUAGGAUGGACUCAAUUAACUAAAUUAUGAGUCUGCGAAUAAGAAACUAGAAGAUGGUCACUUCAACUCAGUAGUACUCGUUGCUUGGCACUCAUAGUAAACUACACUGUAGUACCGUAGUAUAAACUACAUAUGUAGUUCAAUAUACAUCCGUUUUAAGCAGCGCUACUAUUGCUUUCAGCUUUCCCACGUGGUCUAGUGGCUAGGAUAUAUGGCUUUCAGCCAGAAGGCCCGGGUUCGUUUCCCGGCGUGGGAAGU